RNAcentral lists this ribosomal RNA (448 nucleotides) under uncultured bacterium. RNAcentral describes it as "bacterial SSU rRNA". It matches the Rfam family "Bacterial small subunit ribosomal RNA", at positions 329 to 794 of the family's 1533-position model. The record is from RNAcentral.
ACCCAGACUCCUACGGGAGGCAGCAGUGGGGGAUAUUGCACAAUGGGGGAAACCCUGAUGCAGCGAUGCCGCGUGAAUGAAGACGGCCUUCGGGUUGUAAAGUUCUGUCGCAGGGGACGAAAAUGACGGUACCUGAGUAAGAAGCUCCGGCUAAAUACGUGCCAGCAGCCGCGGUAAUACGUAUGGAGCAAGCGUUAUCCGGAUUUACUGGGCGUAAAGGGAGCGUAGGCGGCCUGCCAAGUCUGAUGUGAAAUACCGGGGCUCAACCCCGGGGCUGCAUUGGAAACUGGCAGGCUGGAGUGCCGGAGAGGCAGGCGGAAUUCCUAGUGUAGCGGUGAAAUGCGUAGAUAUUAGGAGGAACACCAGUGGCGAAGGCGGCCUGCUGGACGGUGACUGACGCUGAGGCUCGAAAGCGUGGGGAGCAAACAGGAUUAGAUACCCGCGUAAA